GGGCCCUUAGCUCAGUUGGUAGAGCGGUCGGCUCAUAACCGAUUGGUCGUAGGUUCGAGUCCUGCAGGGCCCACUA
Molecule: transfer RNA, 76 nt
Filed under: Aneurinibacillus thermoaerophilus
Lineage: Bacteria; Bacillati; Bacillota; Bacilli; Caryophanales; Paenibacillaceae
Description: tRNA_Met_CAT
Rfam family: tRNA
About the family: Transfer RNA (tRNA) molecules are approximately 80 nucleotides in length. Their secondary structure includes four short double-helical elements and three loops (D, anti-codon, and T loops).
Source: RNAcentral